This 50-nucleotide non-coding RNA is filed under the name Trichobilharzia regenti. Lineage: Eukaryota; Metazoa; Platyhelminthes; Trematoda; Strigeidida; Schistosomatidae. The record is from RNAcentral.
GUACUGCUGAAGAGUCCCAAACUAGGACGAAACAGCUAGCUGUCCAGUAC